This 488-nucleotide long non-coding RNA is filed under the name Homo sapiens (human). Its description in RNAcentral is "non-protein coding lnc-KCNJ12-1:1". The record is from RNAcentral. Lineage: Eukaryota; Metazoa; Chordata; Mammalia; Primates; Hominidae.
CCACGGGAUUUCAUGCAAAGUGCCUUAGACGACCAGAACUGCGAGCAGACACCCCUAGCACCCCGGAAGAUGGGCUAUGGUCUCCGGCCACCUCCUGCCCGUUUCUCAUUAAAGCUUGAGAAGGAGGAGGGUGGCUGUGUCCCAGGAGCUGGGUUGGCACCCUCAGUGAGGUUGUGGGGCUCUCGUGGAGAACACAAACCAUCCCUCAGGACAGCAGCAGCAGGCAAGACCCCAGAUGGUCCUGAUCAAGACAAAGACAAGCCACUCCAGCAUCCUGUCUGAAUACAGACAGAUGGGAGCAUCUCUCAGGCCAGGAGUGCCAGCCGUGUCCCCUCCCAGCCCACAUGGUGACUGCUGCUUUGGCCUUGGUGACAGCCUGUCCUGCCCUUGUCAGGCCUCCCGGGGGAUGAGGUUUAUGAAGCUUCCAGUGUAUACCUACCUCCUCCUGCUUCCUGACAGUGCUCAACUCAGAGCCAGCCCCCUCUCCC